RNAcentral lists this ribosomal RNA (459 nucleotides) under uncultured bacterium. RNAcentral describes it as "partial 16S ribosomal RNA". It matches the Rfam family "Bacterial small subunit ribosomal RNA", at positions 338 to 795 of the family's 1533-position model. The record is from RNAcentral.
CCUACGGGAGGCUGCAGUGAGGAAUAUUGGUCAAUGGCCGCAGGGCUAAACCAGCCAAGUCGCGUGAGGGUUGACGGUCCUCUGGAUUUUAAACCUCUUUUGUCAGGAAGCAAAGGGCGCCACGUGUGUCGUUUUCCGAUUACCUGAAUAAAAAGCAUCGGCCAACUCCGUGCCAGCAGCCGCGGUAAUACGGAGGAUGCGAGCGUUAUCCGGAUUUAUUGGGUUUAAAGGGUGCGCAGGCGGAAUGUGAAGUCAGCGGUAAAAUUUCGGGGUCCAACCCCGUCGUGCCGGUGAAACUGGCAGUCUUGAGUGAGCGAGAAGUAUGCGGAAUGCGUGGUGUAGAGGUGAAAGGCAUAGAUAGCACGCAGAACUCCGAUUGCGAAGGCAGCAUACCGGCGCUCAACUGACGCUCAUGCACGAAAGCGUGGGUAUCGAACAGGAUUAGAUACCCCGGUAGUC